CCUACGGGAGGCAGCAGUGGGGAAUUUUGGACAAUGGGCGCAAGCCUGAUCCAGCAAUGCCGCGUGCAGGAUGAAGGCCUUCGGGUUGUAAACUGCUUUUGUACGGAACGAAAAAGUCUGCCCUAAUACGGUGGGCCCAUGACGGUACCGUAAGAAUAAGCACCGGCUAACUACGUGCCAGCAGCCGCGGUAAUACGUAGGGUGCGAGCGUUAAUCGGAAUUACUGGGCGUAAAGCGUGCGCAGGCGGUUAUAUAAGACAGAUGUGAAAUCCCCGGGCUCAACCUGGGACCUGCAUUUGUGACUGUAUAGCUAGAGUACGGUAGAGGGGGAUGGAAUUCCGCGUGUAGCAGUGAAAUGCGUAGAUAUGCGGAGGAACACCGAUGGCGAAGGCAAUCCCCUGGACCUGUACUGACGCUCAUGCACGAAAGCGUGGGGAGCAAACAGGAUUAGAUACCCUGGUAGUCCACGCCCUAAACGAUGUCAACUGGUUGUUGGGUCUUCACUGACUCAGUAACGAAGCUAACGCGUGAAGUUGACCGCCUGGGGAGUACGGCCGCAAGGUUGAAACUCAAAGGAUUGACGG
This 584-nucleotide ribosomal RNA is filed under the name uncultured bacterium. RNAcentral's name for it is "bacterial SSU rRNA". It matches the Rfam family "Bacterial small subunit ribosomal RNA", at positions 338 to 916 of the family's 1533-position model. The record is from RNAcentral.